RNAcentral lists this ribosomal RNA (251 nucleotides) under uncultured bacterium. Its description in RNAcentral is "partial 16S ribosomal RNA". It matches the Rfam family "Bacterial small subunit ribosomal RNA", at positions 15 to 257 of the family's 1533-position model. The record is from RNAcentral.
GAUCCUGGUUCAGGAUGAACGCUAGCUACAGGCUUAACACAUGCAAGUCGAGGGGCAGCGGGAUUGAAGCUUGCUUCAAUUGCCGGCGACCGGCGCACGGGUGAGUAACGCGUAUCCAACCUUCCGUACACUCAGGGAUAGCCUUUCGAAAGAAAGAUUAAUACCUGAUGGUAUCUUAAGCACACAUGUAAUUAAGAUUAAAGAUUUACCGGUGUACGAUGGGGAUGCGUUCCAUUAGGUAGUAGGCGGGG